GUCAUGGUGGAAACUGUCACCAGCGCAGCCUUUGCCUGUCAUCUCCCUGGUAGGUGGCCUGUGUGGGUGAGCAGCAGCAGCCACAAUGGCCCUUUGUCUCCCACUCUAUCCAAGGCACUUCCUGCUUCCCUCAUCACAGCAUGAGAGCCUUGUGCCCAUUUUCCAGAGGAGGGAGGUCAUUUCUGCAGAUCACAAUGGCCGGCGAGAGGUGACAGAAGAACGCUUCCUCUGCCUUACUGCAUGUGGGUGGCACAGUACCAGGACCCCAGGCCAAACAAGACACAGGCCUGGCCUUCAGGACAUCCCAUCAGCCUGGCCACAGUGACCAGCCAGAGAUGGCCUGUGACCUAGUCUGGCUAAUCGGUGUCCUUCCCUGGGAUUUUACACGUGGCUGCCGGAAGAGAAGCUCUGGUCUCCCUGCUUCACCAGUGACAAGAAGGUGACAAGCUGUCAUGGCCGUGUCUCCAGAAAGUCUGCCCGGAGCGGCAGAAAAGGAGCCCAACAGAGAGGCAGAGUGAAGAGAAUAACAGCCCUAACCCCUCAGUGGGGUUUCCGACCCAGGAGCCGCUGAGCCAGCACCAGCCCACCUGUACCAGGGAUACAUCCCUACAAAGACCUCUCCACCAAUCCCGGCUGGACGUCGCCACGAGCACCCAGAGGAGACCCGACCAGCAUGCACUGCCCCGUUCCAUCCUCACCCCAGCCCCCGCCCCCACCCAGGCCACCUCCUCAUGGUAGGCACAGCCAACACCACCGCUCAGGCCUCCCAAACCAUCCUCCAGGACCUGCUCCCGGCCUCGGCCCCGCAUCAGGGACCCUCCCCAGAAGGGGCUGUACUGGGUUCCAAGGGCUGCUGAAGCACCGAUUCACAAGGGACACCUCUGGGUGACAGUCAAGAGACACAGCUCUGGGAGCACAGGGAAGGGGCAGAAGCUGCAGGCAGCCCACGAGGCCUGACUUCCAGGCUGGAGGCACGGCUGCCUCCCCACCUCGGGCCUGCCCCUGCCCUGCUCUGCAGCACCAAGCCCUCCCCGCUCUUCCUGCCAAUAGCACCUCACCCCUCCAGCCCAUCCUGCCCACUACAGCCAGGGCAUUCACCAAGUGCAAAUCCCCUCCCCAGGGAGCCUGCCAGCUCCUUGCACCCUAAGGGAUAAUAGUUCUUGGCUUGGCUAUUAACUAAGAUAUAGGUUUAGCUUCUAAAGCAGAGACCCAAAAUAACACUGGCU
RNAcentral lists this long non-coding RNA (1226 nucleotides) under Fukomys damarensis (Damara mole-rat). RNAcentral describes it as "lncRNA (ENSFDAG00000022228.1)". Lineage: Eukaryota; Metazoa; Chordata; Mammalia; Rodentia; Bathyergidae. The record is from RNAcentral.